This 1488-nucleotide long non-coding RNA is filed under the name Anas platyrhynchos platyrhynchos (common mallard). Its description in RNAcentral is "lncRNA (ENSAPLG00000029871.1)". Lineage: Eukaryota; Metazoa; Chordata; Aves; Anseriformes; Anatidae. The record is from RNAcentral.
CCCACCUCCAGCCACUCGGUGGCCCCCAGGUGCCCGAAUUCGCCCCCGUCCCAGCUGACGAAGAGCAGAGAGCGGCGGAGCUGGAAGCCUGGGGGGGGAACUGGGGUUGGACUGGGAGGGAACUGGGGUGGCACUGGGAGGGAACUGGGGUUGGACUGGGGUUGGACUGGGAGGGAACUGGGGUGGCACUGGGAGGGAACUGGGGUGGCACUGGGAGGGAACUGGGGUUGGACUGGGAGGAAACUGGGGUUGGACUGGGAGGGAACUGGGAUGGCACUGGGAACAAACUGGGGUUGGACUGGGAACAAACUGGGGCUGGACUGGGAGCAAACUGGGGUUGGACUGGGAGCAAACUGGGAUAGGACUGGGAACAAACUGGGGUUACACUGGGAACAAACUGGGAUUAUACUGGGAGCAAACUGGUUGCACUGGGAGCAAACUGGGGUUGGGCAGGGAACAAGCUGGGAUUGUACUGGGAGCAAACUGUUUGCACUGGGAGCAAACUGGGGUUGGACUGGGAACAAACUGGGAUUGUACUGGAGUUUUACUGGGGUUGCACUGGGAGCAAACUGGGAUUGUACUGGGAGCACACUGGGAUUGUACUGGGAGCAAACUGGGGUUGGACUGGGAACAAACUGGGAUUGUACUGGGGUUUUACUGGGGUUGCACUGGGAGCAAACUGGGAUUAUACUGGGACCAAACUGGGAUUGCAGGGGGACACUGGGGGGAGGGGGGGACAGCAAUGACACCACCCCUGGCCCCCACCCUGGCCACGCCCCCUCCGGGUGACCACGCCCACUUGGCCACGCCCCCUCCCAUUGACCACGCCCCCUCCCGGUGGCCACGCCCCCUCCAUUGGCCACGCCCCCCCGGCCCCGCCCUCACCGUCCCUCCCCAUGGCGGCGAAGGCCCGAGCCAGCUCCAGCAGCAGGGCCGUGCCCACCCCCGAGGCCGCCGCCCCCGGCCCCAGCGAAUCGCGGCGCGCCCCCACGAUGACGUAACGGUCUGGGGGCGGGGCCACGAGGAAAUUACCAUAAAAGGGGGUGGGGCUCGGGUGAGGCCACGCCCCCGAGCCGCGCCCCCAGGGGAUGGAGCCACGCCCCCAAACCGAGCUCCAUCCCCGUUGGCCACGCCCAUAAUGACCACGCCCACAAAUGACCACGCCCCCUUUAACCACGCCCCUUGAACCCAUUUGACCCCACCCCCUUUAACCCCACCCCUUUUAGCCACGCCCAUUGAUCCCACUUGGCCCCGCCCCCAUCAGCCACGCCCACAAUAACCACGCCCCCUUUGACCACGCCCCCAUUUAGCCCCACCCCCUUUGGCCACACCCCUUGAACCCAUUUGUCCCCGCCCCCAGUUGGCCCCGCCCCCAUUUGGCCACGCCCCCUCCGAUGACCCCACCCACUUGACCACGCCCCCUACCAUGACCGCGCCCACUCUGACCACGCCCCCUCCCCGUGGCCACGCCCCCUCCCUGGCUCCACC